UGAACGCUGGCGGCGUGCCUACUACAUGCAAGUCGAGCGAACAGACGAGGAGCUUGCUCCUCUGACGUUAGCGGCGGACGGGUGAGUAACACGUGGAUAACCUACCUAUAAGACUGGGAUAACUUCGGGAAACCGGAGCUAAUACCGGAUAAUAUAUUGAACCGCAUGGUUCAAUAGUGAAAGACGGUUUUGCUGUCACUUAUAGAUGGAUCCGCGCCGCAUUAGCUAGUUGGUAAGGUAACGGCUUACCAAGGCAACGAUGCGUAGCCGACCUGAGAGGGUGAUCGGCCACACUGGAACUGAGACACGGUCCAGACUCCUACGGGAGGCAGCAGUAGGGAAUCUUCCGCAAUGGGCGAAAGCCUGACGGAGCAACGCCGCGUGAGUGAUGAAGGUCUUCGGAUCGUAAAACUCUGUUAUUAGGGAAGAACAAAUGUGUAAGUAACUAUGCACGUCUUGACGGUACCUAAUCAGAAAGCCACGGCUAACUACGUU
Molecule: ribosomal RNA, 495 nt
Filed under: uncultured bacterium
Lineage: Bacteria
Description: partial 16S ribosomal RNA
Rfam family: Bacterial small subunit ribosomal RNA
Source: RNAcentral